Ornithorhynchus anatinus (platypus) is the source of this 140-nucleotide small nucleolar RNA. The record is from RefSeq and is a predicted model, not a curated record. Lineage: Eukaryota; Metazoa; Chordata; Mammalia; Monotremata; Ornithorhynchidae.
UCCCUCUCAGGACGGCACCUGGAGAGCUUCCAGUACUCUACUAGUCUCAGCUUUGAGAGGAGAGUCAAGCAGAGGAAUGGAACCCAUUCCAUUCCUAGCUUGGGCAGUGGCUAGUGAGUGGAAGGCAAUCUGCUACAAGU